This 253-nucleotide ribosomal RNA is filed under the name uncultured bacterium. Its description in RNAcentral is "partial 16S ribosomal RNA". It matches the Rfam family "Bacterial small subunit ribosomal RNA", at positions 524 to 776 of the family's 1533-position model. The record is from RNAcentral.
UACGUAGGGUGCAAGCGUUGUCCGGAAUUAUUGGGCGUAAAGAGCUCGUAGGCGGUCGGUCGCGUCGGCUGUGAAAACCCGGAGCUCAACUCCGGGCCUGCAGUCGAUACGGGCAGACUGGAGUUCGGCAGGGGAGACUGGAAUUCCUGGUGUAGCGGUGAAAUGCGCAGAUAUCAGGAGGAACACCGGUGGCGAAGGCGGGUCGCUGGGCCGAUACUGACGCUGAGGCGCGAAAGCGUGGGGAGCGAACAGG